CAACUUUCAGCAAUGGAUCUCUUGGCUCUCGCAUCGAUGAAGAACGCAGCGAAAUGCGAUAAGUAAUGUGAAUUGCAGAAUUCAGUGAAUCAUCGAAUCUUUGAACGCACCUUGCGCUCCUUGGUAUUCCGAGGAGCAUGCCUGUUUGAGUGUCAUUAAU
Molecule: ribosomal RNA, 160 nt
Filed under: Cortinarius ochropallens
Lineage: Eukaryota; Fungi; Basidiomycota; Agaricomycetes; Agaricales; Cortinariaceae
Description: 5.8S ribosomal RNA
Rfam family: 5.8S ribosomal RNA
About the family: 5.8S ribosomal RNA (5.8S rRNA) is a component of the large subunit of the eukaryotic ribosome. It is transcribed by RNA polymerase I as part of the 45S precursor that also contains 18S and 28S rRNA.
Source: RNAcentral